UACGUAGGGUGCAAGCGUUGUCCGGAAUUAUUGGGCGUAAAGAGCUCGUAGGCGGUUUGUUGCGUCGGCUGUGAAAUCCCGAGGCUCAACCUCGGGUCUGCAGUCGAUACGAGCAAACUAGAGUGUUGCAGGGGAGACUGGAAUUCCUGGUGUAGCGGUGAAAUGCGCAGAUAUCAGGAGGAACACCGGUGGCGAAGGCGGGUCUCUGGGCAACAACUGACGCUGAGGAGCGAAAGCUAGGGUAGCAAACGGG
This 253-nucleotide ribosomal RNA is filed under the name uncultured bacterium. RNAcentral describes it as "partial 16S ribosomal RNA". It matches the Rfam family "Bacterial small subunit ribosomal RNA", at positions 524 to 776 of the family's 1533-position model. The record is from RNAcentral.